This is a long non-coding RNA of Dioscorea cayenensis subsp. rotundata (Guinea yam), 881 nucleotides long. RefSeq lists it as uncharacterized. The record is from RefSeq and is a predicted model, not a curated record. The transcript is spliced from 3 exons. Lineage: Eukaryota; Viridiplantae; Streptophyta; Magnoliopsida; Dioscoreales; Dioscoreaceae.
AUGGACUUAGAAAAGAUUAUUUCCAAAAAGUUAAUACUAUUUAUACUAGUAUUUAUUUAUUUAUUUAUGUUAUUUCAUUCUUCUUCAUGUAAACAAAAUUUGGACAAACAUGGUACUUGGAAGUUGGAACAUAUACAUAAAAAUUAGUAGUUUAAGGUUUAAAGCAUGCACUAGUCACAAUCUCAUUUCAUACAAAUCACAGCAUGAGUGGAUUACUGCGUUUGUAACAAGGAACAUAUGCAUCUAUCAAAUCAUGAUAUAUAACACAAAGUUUGAUCUUGUUUUUGUUAGUACUGUUGACAUCAGAAGCACUAGAAGUAUCAAUCAUAUCACAACCAGGUACUAAUCUUAUUCACAUAAAUAUUACAAAGUUACGCAAUGAAUAUGAGUACAUUACUUGCAGGGAAGAGUGGAGAUGAAUCUGUCCUAUCAUGAGAUAAUGUAAUCAUUGCAGAAUCCAGCCAAUUUCUGACUAAAGCUGCUUCCCCUUCCUUGUUAUCACACAUUGUAAAAUGGGAGCAAACCAAGGUGCACUGGUUUAAUGGCAAUGGCCAAAAGCAAGGGUGGAGACACCAAGGAAAGAAUAGGAGAGAAAAAAGUUAAGUGGUUUCUCAGCUUUUGAGAUUUCAGGUUAACCAAAGGUGACAACUGCACACAUCCUAUCAGAUGUCUCAUUUGUUGUUCCCAGAUUUAUGAAUGAUGAUGUCAAAUAAACCUAUGGCAGUGUGAUGCACAACCUCUGUUACAUUGGUUCCUGCACUUGCCCUUCAAUUGAAGCUUUGCUUGAAAGUUAAAAGAAAUUGUUUAUAUUAUCUAAUCAUAUAUAUAUAGUUCUUUAAAAACUUUGGUAUUUGUUAGCGUUUUUGUUUUGUUUUUUUUUC